Long non-coding RNA from Amaranthus tricolor (Joseph's coat), 766 nucleotides. RefSeq lists it as uncharacterized. Lineage: Eukaryota; Viridiplantae; Streptophyta; Magnoliopsida; Caryophyllales; Amaranthaceae. The record is from RefSeq and is a predicted model, not a curated record. The transcript has 2 exons.
AGACAAAAUGUUAAAAAACUACCUAGUAUAUACCCCAUUUUGCAAAAAACUACCUUAAUUAAAAAUUUUUGCAAAAAACUACCUUAUAUAAUACAAUUGUUUGCAAAACACUACCUUAUAACAAAUUGUGGUCUUUGACCGCUAUCUUUAACCGUUGACCCGCAUGUGACACGCACGUGAUACUUUAAUUGUAUGACUUCUUCAUUUCAGUUCAGCCCAUUCGAAAAUCCUUUCAAUCCUGCCAUUUCCAGCGACAACUCCAUUGAUGUAGCUUCUCAUUUCGCUCCCAUCCACCUCGUAACUUCAUCUCCUUGAAAUUUCUAAGCAAAUUCGCGAUUUUUCUAUUGAAUUCAAGCAACGGAGAUGUGGUAAUUGUGGUGACCUAGGUCACUACAAAAAAAGCUGCAAGAAUCCACCAAAACCACCACCAACAAAGACCAAGUCAAAGGGUGGUAGGCCUAAAAUGGGAUCUUCUUCUACUCAACAAUCUACAACAAAUGAUGUGCCUAGCUCCAGUGGUCAACAACAAACGCAAAAUGCUGCAUCUACUUCAUGUGUAAUGGAUCAAAAUAGUCAAAUAUAGACUUGUGAAGAGUAAUUUACUGUUGAAUGUAAUGUGUUGAAUUAGUAGAAGUGUAUGAGUUUCAAAUUGUAAUGUGUAUGAACUAAGAAUGUACUAUGUUGAACUGUAUUUUAGCAAAUCAGUGUAUGAACUGAGAAUGUAAUGUGUUGAAUUAAGUGCAACAAAUUUAGUUAUUGUGUUGAA